Musa acuminata AAA Group (dessert banana) is the source of this 4188-nucleotide long non-coding RNA. RefSeq lists it as uncharacterized. The transcript is spliced from 2 exons. The record is from RefSeq and is a predicted model, not a curated record. NCBI's taxonomy places the organism in Eukaryota, Viridiplantae, Streptophyta, Magnoliopsida, Zingiberales, Musaceae.
CCUCAAGCUACAUCCCAUUAUUAUUUAGUAUAAGCACAUGGAUGACCUCGUUAGCAUAAACAAGUGUUGUUCUACCAGCUUUCAUCAAUAAUCUAUCCUAUGCUGACGCCCAUGGUGACACCUUUUCCAGCUGAACCUUGAUGGUUUGAUUAGGCUCAGGGAAUCAUACAGCUCAGCUUCGAGAUGUUCGUUGCCGCCCAUGGGAAAAGUCCGAGUGCUCCUGACUGUAGCAGUGGAUAAGGAAGUGCUUGUGAACAAGCAAACAAUUAUAAUGGGAGAGCAAAAAGGGUCUCCACGCAGUGGCUACUGAAACCUGAAAGGAAUUCAUUAUUGGAGCCAACAACGUGUAGGUAAAAAAGAUAAAGAGGGAAGAAGCCGGAAAAGGGGAAAAGAAAUCAAGAAGAGGACGAUCUAUGUACGUCAACUACAAAGGAAGGAAGAUCCGCCAAUCGUACGCCGCACGGCUGCUCUUCUCGAUCGGAUCGACGGCGGGGGUGACCGUCACCCGGUGGUCCCCAGCCACGACGCCGGCACCAGCCCCCGGCGGAGCACCACCGAAUACUCCGGCAGUUCUCCGAGCCCGGCGAACAGCGAGUCCUCCUCGCCCCCCCCGCCUCCCCCCGCGGCCUGCUCCUCCAGUUCCUCGGGCAGCGCGGCCGCGGCCCCGGCGAAGAUGACCGACCCGUAGAGCAGCUCGUGGGAGUUAUCGACGGAGGGGGAGGCCGAGGGCGUGAAGCAGACGUCGGCAAACCACGGGAAGCCGCCACGCGCGUCGACCGUGAGCGCCGACUCCUCCUCUGCGAUCGGAUCGGAGAAUUUCUCGUCGCGCUCCGCGGAGUCCGGCGUGCCGGAUUGGCCCAGCUGCUCCUCGGGUCGUGCCGCGGCGUGCUUGUGGUGGUGGUUCCUGGGGACCGGCCAGGUGUGGUUGUGCUCGAAGGAGUAGGUAACCACGAUCACGGCUGGGUCGACGCGGCUCCGCUCCACCUGCUUCCUCGCCGGGCACCCCUUGGAGCUGCUGCACCUGUAGUAACCCCUGCACGUCCCAUCAAAAUCACCAGAUCGGUUUCAUCUUCUUCUCCAUCUCCCUUGUGCUUCUUUCUAGUGCCAUAUAGCUGUAAAAUAAAAAAAUAAAAAAUACGUACAAACCUGGGAUAAGGUGAACCUUUAAUAGGCUUCUGGCCGUACUUCCUCCAGGUCCACGAAUCCGGUGGCGGAGCCCCCUCGCCGCCGCCCUUCGCCUCGCUGAUCGGCAUCGUCACCACCCGCUUCUGCACCGCCCGCCGGCUGUUCAUCCACGAUCCCAGUUUAAUGCCAGUAAAUCAAGAACACUAAGAAGGGCACGGAACAAGAAUCGAAUAGCUGUCGAAGGAGAAGAAGGAUCCACCAUCUCUUGGGACAUGGAGCCGAAGACCGGACGGGCUGCGAGUCGUCGGUCGAUCCAGCUGACACCGGCCUCCCAUCGUUGGCCUCGGAUGCGUCCCCGACCUCGUCCGCCUCGGAUGCGCCGGGCUCGUUGCUGCAGCUCCCGGUCAUUACGAUCCACGAAGAAGCAAAAUAAUUAAAGCUGUACCAACUAUAUGCUCCGCAGCUGAUCCUCCAAGGCAAGCACUCAAUCACUCACUUUGCUCGAACCGGACAAGAGAGCUUUGCACCAACAUGGCACAAAAGAGCUUUCUUGGGGAAUGGAUAGAGGAAGAAGAGAAACGGGGAGAGGUGAAGGGUGUUGGGUGGAGGAGCAGAUGGGGACAGGAUGCAGUUCUAGUAGUCAUCGCAGGCGCACAUCCAAGCUAUUAAAAAAGCACAUAAUGGCCGGGUCGCCUGGGCUAGACUUUGUCUACGAGUUGCUCGCCAUGACUGCACGGGGAGAGGAAGAGGAUGAAGCGAUGUGGGGGCACAUAACUCCACCUAAACUACUGCAAGAGGCCCGUCCCCACCAUCAUGCCAAUAUAUUAGUGGUAGCAGCCCCAGCCAUGCCCUUCUAUUAUUGAAGCGAUGAGAUCCGGAACAUGAGGGAGGCGAGCUUCACGAUGGCAACUUGCUUUUGCUAAUCAUCUUCUCUUUUCACAGCUAUUUCGUCUUGAGGAUAAGUUCCCCAUCUGCUAUUGGUGAGUCGGGAUGCCGUGGGACCCGGUGAAUCCAUCGCCCUCGAGUCACCUUCAUCUAGAAAGCCUGGAGUCUGGACCCUGUCUGAGCUCACACAGGUACGCAAAUCUUCCUUGCCAUUUGCCUUGGUGCAUAAGAAACUUGGCCUUUUUUUUCUUUCUUCUUCACGUCAGCGAUGGGUUUAAUUAUAAAUCAAGCGGCUCAUUCCCGCUCCCGGCCGUAUUAUUAUUAUUAUUAUUAUUAUUAUUAUUAUUAUUAUUAUUAUUAUUAUUAUUAUUAUUAUUAUUAUUAUUAUGCCAACGUGGCCAGCGCUGUAUCUAUUUGACAAAAGCGACAUUUGGUAUUGUCAAGCGGAAAGUCAACGCAACCGCCGGUGCUAAAGAGCCACUUAGAUUCUAUUCAAUGAGUGGGAAGAAUCAGAUCGAUGGCUGAUGGAAGGCACCGUAUGACCUCAAUCUCUCUGAUCGGUCGUCAAGUCUAAUCGUAUCACUUCCACUUUUUGAGGUGGUUUCCGCCAAUACCUUGGAAAGUAAAUCCUACCCAAACAUGGCUUUAAUCGUACACGCAUAUCCUAAUUCCCACUUCAUUGGGCCGACACGAGAUGAGGAGCAUCCCACACGCGCGAUAGCAAUCUCUACCAAAUGGCCGCCUCGUCGCGUUAAACACGUUUCGUCGUCGUCAUGCUUCUACUUUUCCGAGAAGGAAAAGGGCAAAUACUGGAGACCCCACAAGUCUAUUCUACGUCGAUCCAAUGUUCUUCUCGUUAAUAUUUUCCUCAAUUGGUCGCUCUCUACCGUUCCGAUGUCGACACCCAUAGAUUGACUUGCUCGAGAUUUCUCAUGCACGCAUGGAUUGACUAAAACCCAUCGGAUGGGUUAGAAAACAUGUUGUUACAAGUCAUUCAAAGUAUGCAACGCCGGAAAAUAACUAUACACGUUUCCAAGUUGCUCAACUUGUGCUACGCAUGAAAUAAAAGGAACGAAUUAUUAUUUUAAUUUUGUCAUUAUAUCUCAUCUACGCGAGUAUUUCUAUCCAUACAUUAUAACAGUUAACAUUCGAUACAUAUGUCGGUCGUUAUUUUUCCUUGUUAUAUUCAAAUAAUGCGAUGGCUACAGAGCAGAGCGUAGGACCGACCUUUCGGAGUCCAAAAAACAUCUACUCCGAACUCUACCCGAAUAACUUCCUGUUACUUGUGGCUCACACGUAACCUACUGCGGGGGCCACAUGGGAUCAUAAGGUUUUGGGGAGAGAUUCUGAGUACACGAAACAUAAUGCGACCUUUACUUUGUGGUUGGAGUCACGUGGCAAUUGAACCGUUGUGGCUUCGAAGAAGAAGCAGUCGCUCGAUUCAAACCGCGGGUGGCCUCCGCCUCCCUCCUCGGGUCCUUCAUCUCCUCGUCGUUGCCGCAGCUUCCUGUGGAGACUCCACCAUGGUCGAGGGUGACGAGGCGGUCUUCCACACCUGGGACUCUCUUUGGUUCUUCGCCAACAUGCUUUCGCCUCCCUCUCCCGUUCCCAAGAGCGCAGAUAUAUCUUACCCAUGUGUGCAGCAAGAGAAAGACUGUACUCCCGCAGCAGAUAAAUGCCAAGAAUCAGAAGCAGGAACUACCGGACAAGCAGGGACCAGCGAAGCAGGAGCCUACAACACCACGGAACACAGGAGGAAGCAGGGGAAGAAGAGAAGAAAUCAGAGAUUUUGCUGCAAGGAGAAGGAGCAGGUCAAGGAUUUGGAAGAGCUGGAAGUGUGGUUGCGUGGACUGAGGUCGAAUGGUGGAGUGCUUACGGCGAGCCGGAGCUGCGGUGGAUUCGCGCACUGUGAUGGGAAUGUCAGGCUUCGUCGUUGCGGUAUGCCUCCUCUUGCUGAUGGCCUGGCCAUGAAGCAGCACCUCAAGUCAUGGGCUCAUGCGGUUGCCUGCGCUGUUAGAUAACUCAUUAAGACGCAGUUCCUCCUUUGAUCGAUUGUAGCAGAAUUCCUCUUCUUCUUCUUCUUCUUCGUUGCCUGCUGCUAACUUUCUCAUUGUUGUUUGUGGCCUUCGUUGGCUUCGCUGUGCUUUGAUAAUGGUGCUGCGUCUCUCUAUUGACAUC